RNAcentral lists this ribosomal RNA (450 nucleotides) under uncultured bacterium. Its description in RNAcentral is "partial 16S ribosomal RNA". It matches the Rfam family "Bacterial small subunit ribosomal RNA", at positions 354 to 796 of the family's 1533-position model. The record is from RNAcentral.
GUGGGGAAUCUUCCGCAAUGGACGAAAGUCUGACGGAGCAACGCCGCGUGAGUGAUGAAGGUCUUCGGAUUGUAAAGCUCUGUUAAUCGGGACGAAAGAGCCUAGUGUGAAUAAUGCUAGGAAGUGACGGUACCGGAAUAGAAAGCCACGGCUAACUACGUGCCAGCAGCCGCGGUAAUACGUAGGUGGCAAGCGUUGUCCGGAAUUAUUGGGCGUAAAGCGCGCGCAGGCGGAUCUGCCAGUCUGUCUUAAAAGUUCGGGGCUUAACCCCGUGAUGGGAUGGAAAAUACAGAUCUAGAGUAUCGGAGAGGAAAGUGGAAUUCCUAGUGUAGCGGUGAAAUGCGUAGAUAUUAGGAAGAACACCAGUGGCGAAGGCGACUUUCUGGACGAAAACUGACGCUGAGGCGCGAAAGCCAGGGGAGCGAACGGGAUUAGAAACCCUGGUAGUCC